RNAcentral lists this ribosomal RNA (376 nucleotides) under uncultured bacterium. RNAcentral describes it as "bacterial SSU rRNA". It matches the Rfam family "Bacterial small subunit ribosomal RNA", at positions 524 to 898 of the family's 1533-position model. The record is from RNAcentral.
UACGUAGGGCGCGAGCGUUGUCCGGAAUUAUUGGGCGUAAAGGGCUUGUAGGCGGUUGGUCGCGUCUGCCGUGAAAUCCUCUGGCUUAACUGGGGGCGUGCGGUGGGUACGGGCUGACUUGAGUGCGGUAGGGGAGACUGGAACUCCUGGUGUAGCGGUGGAAUGCGCAGAUAUCAGGAAGAACACCGGUGGCGAAGGCGGGUCUCUGGGCCGUUACUGACGCUGAGGAGCGAAAGCGUGGGGAGCGAACAGGAUUAGAUACCCUGGUAGUCCACGCUGUAAACGUUGGGCACUAGGUGUGGGGGCCACCCGUGGUUUCUGCGCCGUAGCUAACGCUUUAAGUGCCCCGCCUGGGGAGUACGGCCGCAAGGCUAAA